Halocaridina rubra (Hawaiian volcano shrimp) is the source of this 73-nucleotide non-coding RNA. Lineage: Eukaryota; Metazoa; Arthropoda; Malacostraca; Decapoda; Atyidae. The record is from the annotation of a GenBank genome assembly.
AGCCGCCGUGGCCGAGUGGUAACACUUGCGACUGUGAUUCGCUAGGUCGCGAGUUUGAGACCCGUCACGGUUU